Molecule: non-coding RNA, 210 nt
Filed under: Pelodiscus sinensis (Chinese soft-shelled turtle)
Lineage: Eukaryota; Metazoa; Chordata; Testudines; Trionychidae
Description: Eukaryotic large subunit ribosomal RNA
Rfam family: Eukaryotic large subunit ribosomal RNA
Source: Rfam by way of RNAcentral
ACUAGGGCUUUAGUCCAAAAUAACCCUCCCAAGAAAAGGUGUUGGUUGAUAUAGACAGCAGGACGGUGGCCAUGGAAGGUGGAAUCCGCUAAGGAGUGUGUAACAACUCACCUGCCGAAUCAACUAGCCCUGAAAAUGGAUGGCGCUGGAGCGUUGGGCCCAUACCCGGCCGUCGCUGGCAACGAGAGCCGCGGGGCUUACGCCGCGACG